CGCUGGCGGCGUGCUUAAUACAUGCAAGUCGAGCGGACCGACGGGAGCUUGCUCCCUUAGGUCAGCGGCGGACGGGUGAGUAACACGUGGGUAACCUGCCUGUAAGAYUGGGAUAACUCCGGGAAACCGGGGYUAAUACCGGAUGCUUGAUUGAACCGCAUGGUUCAAUCAUAAAAGGUGGCUUUUAGCUACCACUURCAGAUGGACCCGCGGCGCAUUAGCUAGUUGGUGAGGUAACGGCUCACCAAGGCGACGAUGCGUAGCCGACCUGAGAGGGUGAUCGGCCACACUGGGACUGAGACACGGCCCAGACUCCUACGGGAGGCAGCAGUAGGGAAUCUUCCGCAAUGGACGAAAGUCUGACGGAGCAACGCCGCGUGAGUGAUGAAGGUUUUCGGAUCGUAAAACUCUGUUGUUAGGGAAGAACAAGUACCGUUCGAAUAGGGCGG
Molecule: ribosomal RNA, 449 nt
Filed under: Bacillus sp. R-26951
Lineage: Bacteria; Bacillati; Bacillota; Bacilli; Caryophanales; Bacillaceae
Description: bacterial SSU rRNA
Rfam family: Bacterial small subunit ribosomal RNA
Source: RNAcentral